GUGCCAGCAGCCGCGGUAAGACAGAGGCCCCGAGCGUUAAUCGGAAUUACUGGGCUUAAAGGGUGCGUAGGCUGAUCCGAAAGUGCUCCGUGAAAUCCCCCGGCUCAACCGGGGAACAGCGAGGCAUACUGCGGAUCUUGAGGCAGGUAGGCGCCGAGGGAACAGUAGGUGGAGCGGUGAAAUGCGUAGAUAUCUACUGGAACGCCGAUGGUGAAGACGCUCGGCUGGGCCUGUCCUGACGCUGAGGCACGAAAGCGUGGGGAGCAAACAGGAUUAGAAACCCCCGUAGUCC
RNAcentral lists this ribosomal RNA (292 nucleotides) under uncultured bacterium. Its description in RNAcentral is "partial 16S ribosomal RNA". It matches the Rfam family "Bacterial small subunit ribosomal RNA", at positions 505 to 796 of the family's 1533-position model. The record is from RNAcentral.